Molecule: long non-coding RNA, 589 nt
Filed under: Chrysemys picta bellii (western painted turtle)
Lineage: Eukaryota; Metazoa; Chordata; Testudines; Emydidae
Description: lncRNA (ENSCPBG00000021111.1)
Source: RNAcentral
GUGGGGCUCUGGCUGGCACGCAUAUCUUUAAUUGUUGUAUUGUGAUAGGAAAGAUGAUGGGAGCCUGGUUGCCUAGCAACCAUUUUACAUAGACCACCCUAAAGAAAGAUAUUAAAGCUUGACAGUAAAUACAAAAAGGACAUUUUAUACCCUAGGAAUCUUUAAAACAUCAAAGAGUUCCAUAGCUUACCAUCAUAAAUUAAAAGUGCAAUGAGCCCUUGGACCCUUUGGACCCCAAACCUUUCCUGAACAGUGAAGGGAGCAAUUAUAGCUAGUAGCUACCUGGCCUGCAACCUCAAGGGAGGAGAUGGGAGGGGUGACCACGGUGAAGAGUAAUACCAGGAUGAAAAGCAUAUCAUUGACACUCACCGCAUCAGCAAAGGGCAAGGAAGCCAGGAGACAAAAGGACUCUUUGGAAGAAGAUAAUUCUGUUACUUCAUUUUGCAGCUGUGUGAGGGAGACCUCUAAUUUUGCAACUGAAGUGUUCUGCCUGCAGUCAACUGUGUUCCCAAUUGGUGGGUGCCAUCAGUGGCAGAUGCAAGUGAAAGAGGAACCUGGGUUCAACAUUGAAUUGUGUUAUUUAGAUUGA